Molecule: long non-coding RNA, 144 nt
Organism: Cebus imitator (Panamanian white-faced capuchin)
Lineage: Eukaryota; Metazoa; Chordata; Mammalia; Primates; Cebidae
Exons: 2
Source: RefSeq, a predicted model, not a curated record
UUUCCCUGUCCAGUCUAUCAUCGAUGGGCAUUUGGGUUGGUUCCAGGUCUUUGCUAUUGUAAACAGUGCCGCGAUGAACAUAUAUGGUGUGCAUGUAUCUUUCUAAUACGAUUUAUAAUCCUUUGGGUAUAUACUCAGUAAUGG